RNAcentral lists this ribosomal RNA (743 nucleotides) under uncultured bacterium. Its description in RNAcentral is "bacterial SSU rRNA". It matches the Rfam family "Bacterial small subunit ribosomal RNA", at positions 94 to 823 of the family's 1533-position model. The record is from RNAcentral.
AGCGGCGGAUGGGUGAGUAACACGUGGGGAACCUGCCCCUAAGUCUGGGAUACCAUUUGGAAACAGGUGCUAAUACCGGAUAAUAAAGCAGAUCGCAUGAUCAGCUUUUGAAAGGCGGCGUAAGCUGUCGCUAAGGGAUAGCCCCGCGGUGCAUUAGCUAGUUGGUAAGGUAACGGCUUACCAAGGCGACGAUGCAUAGCCGAGUUGAGAGACUGAUCGGCCACAUUGGGACUGAGACACGGCCCAAACUCCUACGGGAGGCAGCAGUAGGGAAUCUUCCACAAUGGACGCAAGUCUGAUGGAGCAACGCCGCGUGAGCGAAGAAGGUUUUCGGAUCGUAAAGCUCUGUUGUUGGUGAAGAAGGAUAGAGGUAGUAACUGGCCUUUAUUUGACGGUAAUCAACCAGAAAGUCACGGCUAACUACGUGCCAGCAGCCGCGGUAAUACGUAGGUGGCAAGCGUUGUCCGGGUUUAUUGGGCGUAAAGCGAGCGCAGGCGGAAAAAUAAGUCUAAUGUGAAAGCCCUCGGCUUAACCGAGGAACUGCAUCGGAAACUGUUUUUCUUGAGUGCAGAAGAGGAGAGUGGAACUCCAUGUGUAGCGGUGGAAUGCGUAGAUAUAUGGAAGAACACCAGUGGCGAAGGCGGCUCUCUGGUCUGCAACUGACGCUGAGGCUCGAAAGCAUGGGUAGCGAACAGGAUUAGAUACCCUGGUAGUCCAUGCCGUAAACGAUGAGUGCUAAGUGU